CCUACGUGUGGCAGCAGUGGGGAAUAUUGGGCAAUGGGCGCAAGCCUGACCCAGCAACGCCGCGUGAAGGAAGAAGGCUUUCGGGUUGUAAACUUCUUUUGACAGGGAAGAGCAGAAGACGGUACCUGUCGAAUAAGCCACGGCUAACUACGUGCCAGCAGCCGCGGUAAUACGGGGGAUGCAAGCGUUAUCCGGAUUUAUUGGGUUUAAAGGGUGCGUAGGUUGUGAGGUAAGUCAGCGGUGAAAUGCCCCCGCUCAACGGGGUGAAGUGCCAUUGAUACUGCCUUGCUGGAAUGCGGAUGCCGUGGGAGGAAUGUGUGGUGUAGCGGUGAAAUGCAUAGAUAUCACACAGAACACCGAUUGCGAAGGCAGCGUGCCGUGCCGCCACUGACGCUGAGGCACGAAAGCGCGGGGAUCGAACAGGAUUAGAUACCCCAGUAGUC
RNAcentral lists this ribosomal RNA (443 nucleotides) under uncultured bacterium. RNAcentral's name for it is "partial 16S ribosomal RNA". It matches the Rfam family "Bacterial small subunit ribosomal RNA", at positions 338 to 795 of the family's 1533-position model. The record is from RNAcentral.